Molecule: ribosomal RNA, 1469 nt
Filed under: uncultured bacterium
Lineage: Bacteria
Description: bacterial SSU rRNA
Rfam family: Bacterial small subunit ribosomal RNA
Source: RNAcentral
AGAGUUUGAUCCUGGCUCAGGACGAACGCUGGCGGCGUGCCUAACACAUGCAAGUCGAGCGGAGAUUGCAGUAAUGUAAUCUUAGCGGCGGACGGGUGAGUAACGCGUGGGCAACCUGCCUCACACUGGGGGAUAACACAGGGAAACUUGUGCUAAUACCGCAUAACAUCAUGAAAGGACAUCCUUUUAUGAUCAAAGGAGUAAUCCGGUGAGAGAUGGGCCCGCGUCCAAUUAGCUAGUUGGUGGUGUAACGGACCACCAAGGCGACGAUUGGUAGCCGAACUGAGAGGUUGAUCGGCCACAUUGGGACUGAGAUACGGCCCAGACUCCUACGGGAGGCAGCAGUGGGGAAUAUUGCGCAAUGGGGGAAACCCUGACGCAGCAACGCCGCGUGAAGGAUGAAGGUUUUCGGAUCGUAAACUUCUUUGAUGAGGGACGAAUAAUGACGGUACCCCAAAAACAAGCCACGGCUAACUACGUGCCAGCAGCCGCGGUAAUACGUAGGUGGCGAGCGUUGUCCGGAAUUACUGGGUGUAAAGGGCGUGUAGGCGGGAAGACAAGUCAGAUGUGAAAUACCGUGGCUUAACGGGGCUGCAUCUGAAACUGUGUUUCUUGAGUGUCGGAGAGGAAAGUGGAAUUCCCAGUGUAGCGGUGAAAUGCGUAGAUAUUGGGAGGAACACCAGUGGCGAAGGCGACUUUCUGGACGAUAACUGACGCUGAGGCGCGAAAGCGUGGGGAGCAAACAGGAUUAGAUACCCUGGUAGUCCACGCCGUAAACGAUGGAUACUAGGUGUGGGAGGUAUCGACCCCUUCCGUGCCGGAGUUAACACAAUAAGUAUCCCACCUGGGGAGUACGGCCGCAAGGUUGAAACUCAAAGGAAUUGACGGGGGCCCGCACAAGCAGUGGAGUAUGUGGUUUAAUUCGAAGCAACGCGAAGAACCUUACCAGGGCUUGACAUGCAGAUGAAUAAGCAAGAGAUUGCUUAGUCCUUCGGGACAUCUGUGCAGGUGGUGCAUGGUUGUCGUCAGCUCGUGUCGUGAGAUGUUGGGUUAAGUCCCGCAACGAGCGCAACCCUUGUUGUUAGUUGCCAUCAUUUAGUUGGGCACUCUAACGAGACUGCCGGUGAUAAAUCGGAGGAAGGUGGGGACGACGUCAAAUCAUCAUGCCCCUUAUGCUCUGGGCUACACACGUACUACAAUGGCUGUUACAGAGGGAAGCGAAGUCGCAAGGCGGAGCAAAUCCCCAAAAACAGUCUCAGUUCAGAUUGUGGGCUGAAACCCGCCCACAUGAAGUCGGAAUUGCUAGUAAUUGCAGGUCAGCAUACUGCAGUGAAUACGUUCCCGGGCCUUGUACACACCGCCCGUCACACCAUGAGAGUCUGCAACACCCGAAGUCAGUAGCCUAACCGCAAGGAGGGCGCUGCCUAAGGUGGGGCCGAUGAUUGGGGUGAAGUCGUAACAAGGUAACC